UGUGUCAGGUAGCAGGGUGGAUCUUGGCCUCCAUGUCCGUCAUCCCUGUACCUGUCAUGGCGGCUGUCACCUUGCUCAAGGCCAAAGGAUCAUUCAUGGAUAGACUGGCAGCGAGUUGCAGGCCUAACGACUCAUGGGGACCGUCACU
Molecule: long non-coding RNA, 148 nt
Organism: Haliotis rubra (blacklip abalone)
Lineage: Eukaryota; Metazoa; Mollusca; Gastropoda; Lepetellida; Haliotidae
Exons: 2
Source: RefSeq, a predicted model, not a curated record